CACCUUGAUGAUACUGGACUGAACCUCUAAACCUGUUGACCUGGAGAACUGGCUGGUCAAAGGUGUUUGGUCCUGGCUCCACCGCUGGCAGUUGCUUGCUUUGUCCUCUCGGAGUCUCAUGCCGUGUGGUGUCUCCCAGAACUCUGGGUGUAUGACCAUCCUGAAACCGGAUGAGAUCAUGAAGAACUGGACACUAUCAUAUGCAUGUCCUUGGGGCAUUGCCACACCAUGUGGUCAUCUACAAAGUUCAUAAAGAACAACUGCACAAUUGAGUUUCAAAUUUUUUUAAUUAAUUAUUAAUAAGUCGCAAGAAAUCUCAUGCUUUACACAGGUAUUCAGUUUUGUGUCUGGUCACAUUGUAAGCUAUCCUCAGCUGCUUGUGAUCUACAAGCCACAGCUGGGACACGCCCAUCAGCCUUGCUGGGGGGGCGGGGGGCCUUUAUCUGCUCCUCACACACGGGAGGGUGUCCUACCAGACAUCACAAAGCACGAUUUUGAAAACAAAACCACCGUGUACUUCAAGAUGGCCGAUGCAGCGCUUUAAGCCCUGUCAACAGUCUGAACACAAGACCGCUCCCCCACGCUCCACAGAGGCAAGAGGCCAGUGAAGAUACUUAGAGCAAAGAUUAUUUGGAAUUUUUCUUGUUUCGUGUGUGUGUGUGUGUGUGUGUGUGUGUGAUAUUAUGUAUGUGCCUUACAUGUGUACAGUAGCCUGUGGAAGUCAGAAGGGUUUGUGUGCCCUGGAACAGAGUCACAGAUAGUUGUGAGCCACCAUGUAGGUGCUGAGAACUGAAUUCAGUUCCUCCGGAAGAGCAGGAAAUGCUCUUAACUAUUGCGCCAUCUCUCCAGACCCGGGUUUCUUUAUAUUUAUAAGGGCAUAGGUGUCUUCAUGCAGGGACAACAACUGUUCUGAUGACUUGACAGAUCUCUGUCAUGAUCCCCAGGACAGCCCUGCAGGCAAAAAGCUAUUCCAGGCUCCCAUUGCACAGACAGGCACGGUGAGGGGUGGGGUGGGUGAAUACUUGCCAGCAUAACCGACAGGGAUUUGUAGGGCUUAGGGGUGUAGCUCAGUUAUCAGAGAGCUUGCCUGGCAGCUUGGAAGCCCUGGGUUCCAUCCCUGAUGUCACACAGCCCGGGCAUGACGGGGUAUGCCCAUAAUCCCAUCAUGAGGAAGGGGAGGCAAGAGAAUCGGAAGUUCAAGGUCAUAUUCAACUACAUAGUGACUUCCAGGCCAACCUGGAUUAUCACAUGAGACCCUCUCUCUAGCUAAUUAAACAUAAUUAAAGGGGAAAUGUCUCAUCCUCAGGCUGAGAUGAACUUCUACCCUACCCUCGAUGUCCAGACAGCCAUGAAGCCCCCAGCACAUACCAUGAUGGUUCUCCUUACCUUUCUGCCCUAGCUUGGAAACUUCUGCCCACAUAUUGCCCUUCUCCCUGGCUCCACUGACAACAAACUCACCUUGUCCUCUUCUUUCUUUCUCUACGCCCUGCCCCACAACCUUGAAGGACCCUGGCCACUCCUCUGACUGAUAGAGACAGUCAGGGAAGGUGACCUGCUAGAGCUGGCCCAGUAGGAGGAUAUACACAGCCCUGGGGCCUGUGAACAGAGAAUUCUUUCGAGAAUCCUAGAGCCCAAAGGUGGGGUCAGAGACGGAAAGUGGGCUUGCGCCAUGGACUAGCUGGGUCUUGGCCCCGUGCAGUCAACAAAGAAUAAAAACAUUCUCCCGGCCUCACGUGGCAAGGACUCAUGCCAGGCUCUGAGGACUCCACCAGCCUGGAGCCCAGCUGCCUUUCCUCAUCUCUGUCAGGUCUACAGGGACCCUAAGGGGUUUUCCAGCCCCACACCAUCUUUACAGCUUCUGCCUCCUGCCUGCAGUCAAGGCUAGGCCAAGUUCCAUUCUUCACCCGCAGGAGCAAUCUUGAGUAAAACAUCUUAGAAUGUACUGCCUGACAGUCACCUGACACUCUGGAAAGUCCCAGGUAGAGUUCAAAUGCGUGUCAUGCUUGCUAGCCAAUAGAUUUAAAGGUCAAGAUGCUUAGCCAAUAAGCUUGAACUGUAACCUUGCUGAUGUAACCUGUGCCCCUAAAAAGUAUAAAAACUGCUUGUAGUAGCCAUUCGGGGUCGCCUUCUCAUCACUCACCUUGAAGGACUGAUUGAGGUUGACCCUGAUGCGCUGGAAAAUAAACCUCUUGCUUUUGCAUCAA
This is a long non-coding RNA of Mus musculus (house mouse), 2204 nucleotides long. RefSeq annotates it as predicted gene 14275. The record is from RefSeq and is a predicted model, not a curated record. Lineage: Eukaryota; Metazoa; Chordata; Mammalia; Rodentia; Muridae. The transcript has 2 exons.